RNAcentral lists this ribosomal RNA (696 nucleotides) under uncultured bacterium. RNAcentral's name for it is "bacterial SSU rRNA". It matches the Rfam family "Bacterial small subunit ribosomal RNA", at positions 111 to 823 of the family's 1533-position model. The record is from RNAcentral.
UAACGCGUGAGGAACCUGCCUCAAAGAGGGGAACAACAGUUGGAAACGACUGCUAAUACCGCAUAAGCCCACGACCCGGCAUCGGGUAGAGGGAAAAGGAGCAAUCCGCUUUGAGAUGGCCUCGCGUCCGAUUAGCUAGUUGGUGAGGUAACGGCCCACCAAGGCGACGAUCGGUAGCCGGACUGAGAGGUUGAACGGCCACAUUGGGACUGAGACACGGCCCAGACUCCUACGGGAGGCAGCAGUGGGGAAUAUUGCACAAUGGGGGAAACCCUGAUGCAGCGACGCCGCGUGGAGGAAGAAGGUCUUCGGAUUGUAAACUCCUGUUGUUGAGGAAGAUAAUGACNNUACUCAACAAGGAAGUGACGGCUAACUACGUGCCAGCAGCCGCGGUAAAACGUAGGUCACAAGCGUUGUCCGGAAUUACUGGGUGUAAAGGGAGCGCAGGCGGGAAGACAAGUUGGAAGUGAAAUCCAUGGGCUCAACCCAUGAACUGCUUUCAAAACUGUUUUUCUUGAGUAGUGCAGAGGUAGGCGGAAUUCCCGGUGUAGCGGUGGAAUGCGUAGAUAUCGGGAGGAACACCAGUGGCGAAGGCGGCCUACUGGGCACCAACUGACGCUGAGGCUCGAAAGUGUGGGUAGCAAACAGGAUUAGAUACCCUGGUAGUCCACACUGUAAACGAUGAUUACUAGGUGU